UCGCAGGCUAGUUGCCGAGACAGCUCGCGUAAAAAAAGCCCGCACCUUGAUGGAUGCGGGCUUUUUUUAU
RNAcentral lists this small RNA (70 nucleotides) under Pantoea ananatis. The record is from RNAcentral. Lineage: Bacteria; Pseudomonadati; Pseudomonadota; Gammaproteobacteria; Enterobacterales; Erwiniaceae.